ACGAACGCUGGCGGCGUGCCUAAUACAUGCAAGGUCAACGGCUUUCUAUGGAAGCUUGCUUCCACUGAGAAGAUAGUGGCGAACGGGUGAGUAACACGUGGGAACCUGCCCAUAAGAGGGGGAUAACAUCCGGAAACGGGUGCUAAUACCGCAUAGUUUUCUUGAUCGCAUGAUUGAGAAAGGAAAGACGGCCUUUGUGCUGUCGCUUAUGGAUGGACCCGCGGCGUAUUAGUUAGUUGGUGAGGUAACGGCUCACCAAGACGAUGAUACGUAGCCGACCUGAGAGGGUGAUCGGCCACAUUGGGACUGAGACACGGCCCAAACUCCUACGGGAGGCAGCAGUAGGGAAUCUUCCGCAAUGGACGAAAGUCUGACGGAGCAACGCCGCGUGAGUGAAGAAAAGGUUUUCGGAUCGUAAAACUCUGUUGUCAGAGAAGAACAAGUUGGAGAGUAACUGCUCCAGCCUUGACGGUAUCUGACCAGAAAGCCACGGCUAACUACGUGCCAGCCGCGGC
This 515-nucleotide ribosomal RNA is filed under the name uncultured bacterium. RNAcentral's name for it is "bacterial SSU rRNA". It matches the Rfam family "Bacterial small subunit ribosomal RNA", at positions 29 to 518 of the family's 1533-position model. The record is from RNAcentral.